GACGAACGCUGGCGGCGUGCUUAACACAUGCAAGUCGAACGGAAAGGCCCUGCUUUUGUGGGGUGCUCGAGUGGCGCACGGGUGAGUAACACGUGAGUAACCUGCCCUUGACUUUGGGAUAACUUCAGGAAACUGGGGCUAAUACCGGAUAGGAGCUCCUGCUGCAUGGUGGGGGUUGGAAAGUUUCGGCGGUUGGGGAUGGACUCGCGGCUUAUCAGCUUGUUGGUGGGGUAGUGGCUUACCAAGGCUUUGACGGGUAGCCGGCCUGAGCGGGUGACCGGCCACAUGGGGACUGAGAGACGGCCCAGACGCCUACGGGAGGCAGCAGUGGGGAAUAUGGCGCAAUGGGCGGAAGCCUGAGGCAGCAACGCCGCGUGCGGGAUGACGGCCUACGGGUUGAAAACCGCUUUCGCCGGUGACGAAGCGUGAGUGACGGUAAUGGGUAAAGAAGCACCGGCUAACUACGUG
Molecule: ribosomal RNA, 468 nt
Filed under: uncultured bacterium
Lineage: Bacteria
Description: partial 16S ribosomal RNA
Rfam family: Bacterial small subunit ribosomal RNA
Source: RNAcentral